RNAcentral lists this ribosomal RNA (157 nucleotides) under uncultured bacterium. RNAcentral's name for it is "partial 16S ribosomal RNA". It matches the Rfam family "Bacterial small subunit ribosomal RNA", at positions 355 to 509 of the family's 1533-position model. The record is from RNAcentral.
UGAGGAAUAUUGGUCAAUGGGCGGGAGCCUGAACCAGCCAAGCCGCGUGAGGGAAGAAGGUACAGCGUAUCGUAAACCUCUUUUGUCAGGGAACAAAGGCGGGGACUAGUCCCCGGAUGAGGGUACCUGAAGAAAAAGCAUCGGCUAACUCCGUGCC